GGAGAGGUGGCAGAGUGGUUGAAUGCACCGCACUCGAAAUGCGGCAUGGGUGCAAGCCCAUCGGGGGUUCGAGAUCCCCCCCUCUCCGCCA
RNAcentral lists this transfer RNA (91 nucleotides) under Ensifer meliloti. Its description in RNAcentral is "Sinorhizobium meliloti tRNA-Ser". It matches the Rfam family "tRNA". From Rfam's summary of the family: Transfer RNA (tRNA) molecules are approximately 80 nucleotides in length. Their secondary structure includes four short double-helical elements and three loops (D, anti-codon, and T loops). Lineage: Bacteria; Pseudomonadati; Pseudomonadota; Alphaproteobacteria; Hyphomicrobiales; Rhizobiaceae. The record is from RNAcentral.